RNAcentral lists this non-coding RNA (957 nucleotides) under Stegodyphus mimosarum. Its description in RNAcentral is "Eukaryotic small subunit ribosomal RNA". It matches the Rfam family "Eukaryotic small subunit ribosomal RNA", at positions 1 to 1037 of the family's 1831-position model. Lineage: Eukaryota; Metazoa; Arthropoda; Arachnida; Araneae; Eresidae. The record is from Rfam by way of RNAcentral.
CACCUAUAGAUCCUAUAGUGGGAUCCUAUAGAUCCUAUAGUUUUGGGCACAAUUCACGCCCAAAACGAGAAUAUAGUGACGGAAAAUAACAACACAGGAUUCUUUGAGUCCAUGACUGGAAUGAGAACACUCUAAAUUCUUUAACGAAUGUCUGUUGAAGCGCAAGGUUGGUGCCAGCAGCCAUACUAAUUCCACUUCCAAUGGAGUAUAUUACAGUUGUUACGGUUACAAAGCCCGUAGUUUGAUCUCAGUUCCAGACGGGUGGUUUGCCUAGUGUAACUUUCGCCGAGUUUCCGAGAUGGAAAAACUAAGACGGAUUGUCUUUUUUAAAUUUAUUUAAAAACUUAACAUAAGCCUUCUUCUUUAGUUAAAAAGUAACAUUACAGCAUUACUACAGAAGGGGAAAGGUGAUAGCUUCCUCGAGGCGCAAUGCAUCUUAUUCUCUCGCCAUGACUCGGACAAAAGCUCAUUUCUUAGGCUUACAAAAUGAGACAACGGAAACCCGUCAAAGGCCUCCGCGGUGGACACUGCUGUUCGAUCUCAACAGAACAGGAAGUUUUCUAAUAUACACUUGUUGUUUGUUACACUACGGAAAGUUAUUGCCUGUUCUGAAUAGCCAGCGGUUUUUUUUUUUUUUUUUUUUUUUUUUUUUUUUUUUUUUUUUUUUUUGAUGAUCUGAUGAUCUUCUCUGGUUGUGUUGGGUAGCAAAUUUACUUUGAAACAUUCUGGUGCUCAAAGUAGGUAUGAUGCUUGAAUAAUGGUGCCUGCAAUAAUGGAAUAGACCUCAGCUCUGCUGUGUUGGGUUUUUAGAAUAUGAGAUAAUGAUUACGAUGGACAUUCGUAUUCGGGGCUACGGGUGAAAUCGUUAGACUACAGCAAGAAAGGUGCUGCGAAAUCAUUUGCCAAGAAUGUUUCUAUUUGGUUGACUUUACCAUCCAACCUUCAUUGCUAUCAAAC